AACGAACCAAUCCUUAUCAACACAAGAUGAUUAAACACCUUAAUCUCCUCGCAUUCGUCGAAUAUGCCAUCAUCGCCAUUGUUUUUACAGCCAUAACUGUUAGCUCUGAUGAUGCAGUACCAAUACCAGAGGCUGAAGCUGAAGUAAACGCUUGGUUUGAAGCUAAUGUCAAGCCAUUGGCAGACCGUAAGGGCACUUUAGAUGGGAACCUUGAAGCAGCUGAAGCUACUCCCAAAACUAUUAAGGUGAGCGCAGAUGGAAGUGGAGAGUUCAAGACUAUAACAGAUGCUGUUAAGAGCAUUCCAGCCAAAAACACACAACGCGUGAUUGUGGAUAUUGGACCUGGAACUUAUACCGAGAAAAUUACCGUUGAAAAAGAAAAGGGCUUUGUUUCAUUUAUCGGAGUACCUGAGAAGACAAUCAUAGAAUUUGCUGGCACUGCUCAUGAAUAUGGAACUGUGUAUAGCGCCACAUUACAAGUGGAGUCUGAUUUCUUCGUGGGAAGCGGUUAAGUUAUCAAGGACCAUUAACAACGCUUUAGAACUUCCGUUAUUUCUGCUUUUCAUUUCUGUCACGUUUUAACAAUUUAUGGACUUACUAUUGCAUUAGAAUACUGCACCUCCGCCUGAUGGAGUAAGACCUGGAGCCCAAGCAGUUGCUUUCAGAAUUGGUGGAAAUAUGGCAAGUUUUUACAAUUGCAGAUUUAUUGGAUUUCAAGAUACAAUAUGUGAUGACAAAGGGUUUCACUUUUUUAAAGACUGUUACAUUGAAGGCACCGUUGAUUUCAUCUUUGGGAGCGGAAAGUCUAUUUAUCUGGUAAUAAAACUUCCAUUAAAACUCAACAUAUAUUGGAUUUUGUUUAUAUGCACAUAGUAUCUUUAUUUCUUGAAUAUCACCAUCAAUAUAUAUUCCAUGCAGAAUACCCAGUUAGAGGUUAUACAAGAUAAGGACAUGACAGUGAUUGUUGCACAAGCAAGAGGAAAUGCUGAAGAGACUGGCUUUUCAUUUGUUCAUUGUAGCAUAACUGGAAAAGCAAAAGGAGCAUUCCUAGGCCGAGCAUGGAUGCCAGCUCCUAAGGCGAUAUUUGCAUAUAGUACCAUAAGUGAUGUUAUCUGUCCCGAAGGAUGGUCUAACAAUCAACAUCCUGAACGAGAGCCGUAAGAAAUUUUUAACUAAUAUUUGUAAACUCAAUGACUAAUAUAUAACACUCAUUUUGCAUAUUUCAAUAAUUUUCUGUGGGCUUUGCAGAGAGAUCUUCUUUGGAGAAUAUAAAAAUACAGGACCUGGCGCAGCUAUUGAGGGACGUGUUAAAUUUGCCAAGCAACUAACUGAAGCCGAAGUAAAACCUUUCAUUUCUCUCAGUUAUAUUGAAGGUUCUAAAUGGCUGCUUCCUCCUCCCAAAUUGUGAGGAGGUUAUUUGUUGCAAGAAAUAUAUAAAUUUGAGAGCAAUGAUGUUUAGGGUACACGAAGUCAUACUUGCCUGGGGUGAAUAAACUAGGUUAUUAUCAUAAACCUAAUGUAAUUUCUUUUCAGAAUAAUAAUUUUAUAAUUAUCAUAUCUUAUUAUUAUAAAUAUUUUUAUUUUUAGUUAUUUUAAUAGUUUUUCUUCCACAAUUGUCGAUGAAUGUAUGUUUCUCAUGGUUAUAUUUAUUUUCUCUUGAUAAAAAAGGAGAUUUGAUAUUUGUUAAAAGAAUGGUUAAAUACAAUUCAUUUAAAAUUUUUCACUUUAUUCAUUGACAAUGCUAUCCAUACAUUUUAUUUUUUUCAAUAUAUCCUAUCUCUCUAUUUUUUUACUUUAUUAUAUUAUUUUAAUAUUUAUAGUAAAAUUAAAAUUUAAUAAAUAUCUAAAAUUAAGAGAUGAAGCCAUAAAUUUUAUCCCAGCUCGUAUAUUUAAGUAUUUGUAUUAUUUAUUUAAUUUAUUUGUUAACUUAUGUAGUCAUAUUUAAAAAAAAUACAACUCAAAAAUAAAAUAUUCUAAACUAAUGUAGUAGACCAAUUAAUUUUUGUACAAAAUAAAAUAAUCACUAAAAAAAUUAAUUCUUUCCAACUUAUAUUGAUGCCUCCAAAUUAUAUAUUUUUUUCUUGUAUUUAAGUAUUACCUCAAGUCUCAUGUAAUUUUUUAAAAAGACCAAAUAUGGACAUGAGAUAAAAAUAGGACAAAUAAUUUCAAAAAUGGAAAUAUUAACAAAACAUGUUAAUCCAUAUAUAUUUCGAUGUGUUGAAAAUAAUUUAAAGGUUUAUAUAUAUCUUAUGGAAUAAUUUUAGUCCAUUUGGCCUUCAAUACUAAAGUAUUUUAUACUCAUUAAAAUUAUUAGAUACUGGUAUGAAUACAAACUGAAUAAAUGCAACUUAAAUAUGUGUAUUUUAAGUCAAUUUGUAUUUUAAGUCAACUUAAAUAGUAUCAUAGUUGUGGGUUUGCUUUCGCAAGAACCCACGUCUCUACACCAUCCACAAUAGUAAUUUUGAAUAGCUCCAUUAAAACACAUUCGUGAGAGAGAAGGAAAAAAAAUAUUUUAAUGAUAAGUUUCCUAUUACCAACUCUCAUGUUUAAGUUUUAUUUACACUUACACUAAUUCAACACGUUGCAAAAGCUUUUUUCAAUUUUUAAAAUAAAUACGUUUUUGCUUCCGCUGGAUUACUUUUGCUCAACCAAAUUUAUUAUGAUUGAUAUUAUAAAUUCAUAUACUAGAUUUGUUAAUUUUCUAAUACAUUGUUUUUCCUUGAACAUAAACAAUAAUUUCUAUUGUACCAAUUUAAGCAAAAUUACUCCCUCUAACUUAACAAUUGACGAUUGAUUUAUGAAGAGUUAUGGCAGAAUUGAAUUCGGAGAAAAGUGGUCGGAAAAAACAAUAAAUAUGUAUUAAUAGGACCAAAUUUUGAAGAGAUCCAUUCGUGAAAGGAGAGGAAAAAAAAAAAAUUUAAUAUCAAGUUUCCUGAUACCAAUUCUGAUGUUUGAGUUUUAUUUACACUUACACUAAUUCAAGAUAUAGCAAAAGGCUUUUUCGUUUUUUAAAAUAAAUACGCUUUUGCUUUCGCUAGAUUACUUUUGCUAAACCUAAUUUAUUAUGAUUGAUAUUACAAAUUUAUAUACUAGAUUUGUUAAUUUUCUAUUACACGGUUCUUCCCUGAACAUCAAAAAUAGUUUCCACUGUACAAAUUUAGGCAAAAUUACUCCCUCUAACUUAACAAUUGAAGAUUGAUUUAUGAAGAGUUAUGGCAGAAGUGAGUUUGGAGAAAGUGGUCGGAAAAAAUAAUAAAUAUGUAUUAGUAGGACCACAUUUUUAUAUCUAUAACUCAUUUUUUAAGUUAUUAAAAUAGUUAACACUGAAAAGUUUAGGUAAAAUAGUUAAGUUUUAAAUGUAUUUUACAUUGUUUUUUAGUAUGCAAAAAAAAUAUUACUUGUAUUUAUUUUGAAUUACAAAAUAACUAAAGAAAUAAAAAAUAAAAUUAACACAAGCCACAAAUUUCAAACAAGAUAAACGAGAAACACUCCCAUUAUUGCAAAAGAAAGCAAGAGAAUGCGAUAAACUUUCUAAAUCUCAAUUGUAUUCAGACUUCUUCCUCUUCAGUGUUAUAUAAAUUGCCACAUUCAUAACAAAAAAGAAACAUAUCAAGAAACUAAAAAUCUAUACAAGAUGAUUAAACACCUUAGUCUCCUCGCAUUCGUCGAAUAGGCAAUCAUCGCCAUUGUUUUUACAGACAUAAAUGUUAGCUCUGAUGAUGCAGCACCAAUGCCAGAGGCUGAAGCUGAAGUAAACGCUUGGUUUGAAGCUAAUGUCAAGCCAUUGGCAGAUCGUAAGGGCACUUUAAAUGCUGACCUUGAAGCAGCUGAAGCUACUCCCAAAACUAUUACGGUGAGAGCAGACGGAAGUGGAGAGUUCAAGACUAUAACAGAUGCUGUUAAGAGCAUUCCAGCCAAAAAUGCACAACGCGUGAUUGUGGAUAUUGGACCUGGAACCUAUACCGAGAAAAUUACCGUUGAAAAAGAUAAGCCCUUUGUUUCGUUUGUCGGAGUACCUGAGAAGACAAUCAUAGAAUUUGCUGGCACUGCUCAUGAAUAUGGAACUGUGUAUAGCGCAACAUUACAAGUUGAGUCUGAUUUCUUCGUGGGAAGCGGUUUAGUUAUCAAGGUCCAUUUACAAUGCUUUUGCUUUUCUUCCGUUAUUUAUGCUUUUCAUUUCUGUCACAUUUUAACAAUUUAUGGAUUUACUAUCGCAUUAGAAUACUGCACCUGCGCCUGAUGGAAAAAGACCUGGAGCCCAAGCAGUUGCUUUCAGAAUUGCUGGAAGUAUGUCAAGUUUUUACAAUUGCAGAUUUAUUGGAUUUCAAGAUACAAUAUGCGAUGACAAAGGAUUUCACUUUUUUAAAGACUGUUACGUUGAAGGCACCGUUGAUUUCAUUUUUGGGAGCGGAAAGUCUAUUUAUCUGGUAAUAAAACUUCCAUUAGAACUCAACAUAUAUUGGAUUUGUUUAUAUGCACAUGAUAUCUUUAUUUAUGAAUAUCAACAUCAACAUCAACAUAUAUUCUAUGCAGAAUACCCAGUUAGAGGUGCUGCAAGAUAAGGAAAUGACAGUGAUUGUUGCACAAGCAAGAGGAAACGCUGAAGAUACUGGCUUUUCAUUUGUUCAUUGUAGCGUAGCUGGGAAAGCAAAAGGAGCAUACCUAGGCCGAGCAUGGAUGCCAGCUCCUAAGGCGGUAUUUGCAUAUAGUACCAUAAGUGAGGUUAUCUGUCCCGAAGGAUGGUCUAAUAAUGAACAUCCUGAAAGAGAGCCGUAAGAAAUUUUUAACUAAUCUCUUUAAACUCAUAAAAUGACUUAUCUAUAAUACUCAUUUUGCAUAUUUCAAUAAGGUUCUGUGCACUUUGCAGAGAGAUCUUCUUUGGAGAAUUUAAGAAUUCAGGACCAGGCGCAGCUGCUGAUGGACGUGUUAAAUUUGCCAAGCAACUGACUGAAGCAGAAGUAAAACCUUUCAUUUCUCUUAGGAUGCCAGCUCCUAAGGCGAUAUUUGCAUAUAGUACCAUAAGCGAGGUUAUAUGUCCCGAAGGAUGGUCUAAUAAUGAACAUCCUGAAAGAGAGCCGUAAGAAAUUUUAGCUAAUCUCUUUAAUCUCAUAAAAUGACUUAUCUAUAAUACUCAUUUUGCAUAUUUCUAUAAGGUUCUGUGAAUUUUGCAGAGAGAUCUUCUUUGGAGAAUUUAAGAAUUCAGGACCAGGUGCAGCUCCUGAUGGACGUGCUAAAUUUGCCAAGCAAUUAACUGAAGCAGAAGUAAAACCUUUCAUUUCUCUUAUUUAUAUUGAAGGUUCUAAAUGGCUGCUUCCUCCUCCCAAAUUGUGAGGACUAUAUUUAUAGCAGGAAGUAUAUGAAUUUGAGCGCAAUGAUGUUUAGGCGUACAUGGCCAUCUACGCCGGAAGAAUCCCUUGUUAUUUUGGAAGGCCUAUCUUAUGGUUUUGGCAUCUUAGUUACCACUUGUAAAUAAGCCAGAUUAGAGUAAUAUAUCUGGUUCUGCAAUUUUCCCAACAAUGAUUUUGCAAUUAUCUCAUUUAUUAGUUUCAUGUAAUUUUUAGUCAUUUUAUAAUUAUUAGCCCAUAAAUACAUGUUUUCUCCCCCAUUGACUUCAAUUUUCCAUUUGAUACAAACCAUAAAUUUUCUUUCUAAAUACUGAUUAAUAAAUAGAAUAUUCAGAAUAAAGAGUGUCUGCGUGUAAUUAUGGAUAUACUAACUAAAUAAGGAAUGAAAACUAACUAAUUAGGAGCCAAUCAGGUGGUGGUCUGGUUGGUCUUCUCUCUUAUGUGAGGAGUGGGAGGCUGCCCUGUGUUGUAUAGUCCAUAGUAUUAUUUCGGUCUAUAAAAGUCUCUAAUGAAUUUAAAAAACUAACUAAUUAGGAAAAAAAAAAAGAUUUUUUAACUAAAAAGGAAAGAUAAAAUCUAACUACAUAAGAAAAUAUCAUUGCCUUAACUAAAUAGGGACAAAGAUACAUAAUAUAUAAGAACAAUAAAUAAAAUUUUAAAAUAAUAUCCUAAGAAAUAAACAAUAAUGCUAUAUAAGAAUUUCAUCCAAAUAAGUUGUGUUAACUGUUAGGUACACAUACACAUGAAAUUUGUAGCUUUGUAGUGUUGCACUCUAGCUAUGACAAUCUUGAUGCAAUAUAAAUUAAAUCUUUCAUAUUUUAUUCAUAGAAAUUUUUGAGGUCGGAUGGCAUUUAAAUAAUGGAAUGUAUACAUCUCAUGAAUUUGCUAGAUUCUUUCAAUUAAUAGAGAAAAAAAAUGAAGUAUGCUACAUGGAAUUAAUAGAUUUCGAGGUAUCCCCAAUUACAUUAAUUUAGAAGAGAGAAAAAUAUCAUCUCAAUGCUGGAAUUUUCUCAAUUCUAUCAUUAUUAAUCAUUUAAUUUUUUUUCCAAAAAUAUCUUUUAAAUUCAUGGAUUAUAUUUUUUCAUUUAAAUAAUGGAAUAUGAAAUUCCAUUGAUUUUACAAUUCAUAAAUUUUAUAUUUCGUGAAUUUGGUAAAUUUUAUGACCAAAUUUCAUCAAUUUAAAUUAUCUCCUUGAGACUAAAAAAGUGUGAAGUAAGACAGAUGUUAAAAGUUUUAACAAUGAUUGUACAUUUGUUUUUUUUUUUUUUUUUUUUUUCUUGAAAACAUUGUACAUUUGUUGUUAAUCUCUUGCAAGUUCCAUGUGAAUUGAAGAUUUUUUUUUUUUUUUUUAAAGUUUCCGAAUGCUAUAAAUAAUAGAAAUUCAUUGUUCAAGAUCAGUACUACAAAUUAGCACAUUCAUUAAAGUUUUAAGAACCAAACUUUAUGAAAUUCAAACAUGACUAUAUUAAAUUCUAGAAUAUAAAAACUAUGAAGACCUCCUCGACCGUAAGAUUCAGAAUCUGACAGAAUUAAAAAUAUAUUCAUGCAGAAGAUGACAAAAAAUGAAUUUUUUAGAAAUUAUUUCGGUAUUUUUUUUUAGUGUACUUUAAGAUCUGGUUAAAGCUCCACUGAUGAAAAUAAAAAUUUUUUAAAAAUUAUUUCUACUUUAUUUCUUUUUUCCUUUAGCUUUAAAGUCUGGAUUUUUUUCUUACAAAAUCAAGAUAUAGUUGAAGAAUAAUAAUUUCUUUGUCAGGUAAAAAGAAAAAAUUGCAACACAUAAUUUUGAUGUAUGCCACACGGCGGAUUUAUGUUCACGACAAAGUUUCUUUAUAUAUAUAGAAAUAAAAGCAGAGCAGUUUGCAAUAUAUAAAGCAAAGCAUAAGUCUAUGAAAUUAUCAAAUGUGAGGAGAAUAACAAUUAUUUAGGACAAUUAUAGUUGGACAAUAAUUAUUUAGGGUAGUUGUAAGAACAUGAGUUAUUUUAUAUUUUCCAAAAGGUUGGAUGAAUUAUUAAAAAUUAAAAUUAAAAUUAAAAUUAAAUAAAAAAUUAAAAAGAGAUACAGUAGGGACCAACAACCACUGUAAUAUAUACUUACAACUUUUUAUUUUUAUUUUUUAUUUUUCAUUUUUCCCACUCAAUUACGCAUCAUGAUUAAAGUUAGGGUUUCGAAACACAGAUUGCGGAAGAUCAGUAAGCAUUUAUCAGGAUUCUGUUAUUCAUGAUUUAUUUUAUAUGGCUGUUUGGCUCUAAAGAAAACCCUGUAAAAAAACCAUAUCAGUUUCCUUUUGUUUGCGGCAAUUAUAAAGUCUAAGUUUUUCUGUUAGCUUUUAUAUGUUUGUUGUGUGUUCAUAAUGAAUGUGAGAUUCUUUUUUGUUAUCUAAUUUGACAUAACGCACUCAAACAGGAAUUAGUUUGCUUUUUAUUUAAAUGUCCUUUUCUUGGUUUAAUAUUAUUUAGAUAUUGGAAGUCCAAGCAAACUCCAGUAUAACUCCAAGCUUGAAAUCCCUUCAUGAAACCCACAUCAAGUUCUUUUUAAUCUAUUCCAAAAAUCUGUCCAUGAGUAGUUAUCCAGUGCUCAAUUUGCACUUGAAACAACAAAGAUUUUUUUUUUUUUUUUUCCACUCCCCAAGUACCUGUUUAUAAAGCCUAAUUCUCCAAAUAAAUAUCUUUCACUUCUAGCUUUCAUAUCAACCCAAAACCAGGUUUCUACAGGUGAAGAAGACAUUCAGUUUACUUAAAAUAUACAUGUGAUGAUGUGUUGCAGUUUUUGGUUUUGCAUACUAAAGACUCUUUUCAUUAAGCUGCUUCUCCUCUAGGAUGUCAAAUUGGCCAUUCCCAUCUAAUAUGGACGUUCAAACGUAAUAUAAUCUAAAUGACUCUUCUUCAUAUUUAGAAAGGGCAGCUUUUAUUCCUGUAAACCGAGGCAUAAAUUAUUAGUUUCACUAACUGGACUGCGUUAGAGUUUAGGCAGUUUUUGCUCUAUACACUCUCAUGUGUUUGCGUUAGAGUUUUUAUUUGCAUCAAUAUUUUUUCCUAAUGGUUCAUCUUUGAUUUCAGGGAGAUCGUAUCCAUGCACUGAUUAGUAAAAAUAUUAUUCGUUUAUUCAAAUCAAAGAUACACGAGUUUAGAUUAUAUUUCAUGAAGAACUUUAUAAUUGCACCAAAUAAUUAUAUAGAAAAUCGUUUCACAUAUAUUUUCUAUGAGUUGCUACUAUUGAUUUUAUAGGAAAAUAACCGAGUUUGGCUCAUUGUGGUUAAUGCCGUACUUUUUUUCCUAAGUAUUAUUAUUUGAUGCAGUUUAUACCAUGCAUGAUUUUUGUUAUGCAUACCCUAGUAAAAGGCUUCACAUGAUACUUAAGAAUCUCUCAAUAAAAUAAAAUUUUGUAAUGCAUUUCAAUGAGAUACUUUAUUAUACAAUUUUAUUAUUUUUCAAUGCUGUUAUAAAAGAUAAUUUCAUCAUUCAAUAUUGCUUCGUGCAUCACGCAAGUUCUUACAUGAAUAAUAUAUAAAAGUAAUGUAGUUUGCCUUAUAUGGUGUAAGUAGCACAAUUUGCCAUUUGACAUUAUUUUGAAUUAUAGAGUGACAGAUGUUAGAAUUUUAAUACAAUCUGCCACUUGGCGGUGUUUUGAAUUAUAAAAUGACAAAUAUUAGAAUUCUAACACAAAUUAGCAUAAUUGUAAGAAUUGUAAGAAUUGUAAGGAGAUCAGUUAUUUUAUAUUUUCAGAUGAUUCCUUUAUCAACAUAAUAUCUAUAAAAAAAAUUAUCUUUAGCAUUCAAUAUAUUAAUAUAAAUUUAUUUCUUUUUACAAAAUAAUUAAUAAGUAAUCCACACACAUAAAAAAAUUGUGAAUAAACAAUAUAUUACUAUUAAAUAAACAAUAUAUAAACAAUUUAAAAAAUAUAAAUUGUAAUGUACUGAAUACGAUAAUUUUUUUUUAAAAAAAUAUGACAUUCACACGCUUAGAACACAUACAUUCAAUAAGUAAUAUAUUAAUAUUUCAAAUAAAUAAAUAGUCACUUAUAAUAAAUUAUAAAUAAAUUUAAAAAGUUAAUUUCUUAUUUCAAUCAUACAAUUCUAAUUUUGAAGAGCUCCAUUCGUGAAAUGAGAGGAAAAAAAUAUUUAAUAUCAAGUUUCCCAAUACCAAUUCUGAUGUUUGAGUUUUAUUUACACUUACACUAUUUCAAGAUAUAGCAAAAGCCUUUUUCGAUUUUUAAAAUAAAUACGCUUUUGCUUUCGCUAGAUUACUUUUGCUAAACCAAAUUUAUUAUGAUUGAUAUUAUAAAUUUAUAAAUUAGAUAUGUCAAUUUUCUAUUACACAGUUCUUCCUUGAACAUCAAAAAUAGUUUACACUGUAUCAAUUUAGACAAAAUUACUCCCUCUUACUCAACAAUUGACAAUUGAUUUAUGAAGAGUUAUGGCAGAAUUGCGUUUGGAGAAAGUGAUCGGAAAAAAACAAUAAAUAUGUAUUAGUAGGUCCAAAUUUUUACAAUCAUAACUCAUUUUUUAAGUUAUUAAAACAGCAGCACCGAACAGUUUAGGUAAAAUAGUAAAGUUUUAAAUGCAUUUUACAUUUUUUUUUUUUUGUGCAAAAAAAAAAAAAAAUCUUGUAUUUAUUUUGAAUUACAAAAUAAAUAAAUAAAAAAAAAAUAGAAGUGACACAAGCCACAAAUUUCAAACAAGAUACACGAGAAUCACUCCCAUUACUGCAGAAGAAAGCAAGAGAAUGCGAUAAACUUUCUAAAUCUCAAUUGUAUUAAGACUUCUUCCUCUUCAGUGUUAUAUAAAUUGCGAAUUCAUAAUAAAAAAGAAGCAAGAAACAUAUCAAGAAACUAAAAAUCUAUACAAGCUGAUUAAACGCCUUAGUCUCCUCGCAUUCGUCGUAUAUGCCAUCAUCGCCAUUGUUUUUACAGCAAUAACUGUUAGCUCUGAUGAUGCAGCACCAAUACCAGAGGCUGAAGCUGAAGUAAACGCUUGGUUUGAAGCAAAUGUCAAGCCACUGGCAGACCGUAAGGGCACUUUAAAUGCUGACCUUGAAGCGGCUGAAGCUACUCCCAAAACUAUUAAGGUGAGAGCAGACGGAAGUGGAGAGUUCAAGACUAUAACAGAUGCUGUUAAGAGCAUUCCAGCCAAAAAUGCACAACGCGUGAUUGUGGAUAGUGGACCUGGAACCUAUACCGAGAAAAUUACCGUUGAAAAAGAUAAGCCCUUUGUUUCGUUUGUCGGAGUACCUGAGAAGACAAUCAUAGAAUUUGCUGGCACUGCUCAUGAAUUUGGAACUGUGUAUAGCGCAACAUUACAAGUGGAGUCUGAUUUCUUUGUGGGAAGCGGUUUAGUUAUCAAGGUCCAUUUACAACGCUUUAGCUUUUCUUCCGUUAUUUAUGCUUUUCAUUUCUGUCACGUUUUAACAAUUUAUGGACUUACUAUUGCAUUAGAAUACUGCACCUCCGCCUGAUGGAGUAAGACCUGGAGCGCAAGCAGUUGCUUUCAGAAUUGCUGGAAGUAUGUCAAGUUUUUACAAUUGCAGAUUUAUUGGAUUUCAAGAUACAAUAUGCGAUGACAAAGGGUUUCACUUUUGGAAAGACUGUUACGUUGAAGGCACCGUUGAUUUCAUCUUUGGGAGUGGAAAGUCUAUUUAUCUGGUAAUAAAACUUCCAUUAAAACUCAACAUAUAUUGGAUUUUGUUUAUAUGCACAUAGUAUCUUUAUUUCUUGAAUAUCAACAUCAAUAUAUAUUCCAUGCAGAAUACCCAGUUAGAGGUUAUACAAGAUAAGGACAUGACAGUGAUUGUUGCACAAGCAAGAGGAAAUGCUGAAGAUACUGGCUUUUCAUUUGUUCAUUGUAGCNNNNNNNNNNNNNNNNNNNNNNNNNNNNNNNNNNNNNNNNNNNNNNNNNNNNNNNNNNNNNNNNNNNNNNNNNNNNNNNNNNNNNNNNNNNNNNNNNNNNNNNNNNNNNNNNNNNNNNNNNNNNNNNNNNNNNNNNNNNNNNNNNNNNNNNNNNNNNNNNNNNNNNNNNNNNNNNNNNNNNNNNNNNNNNNNNNNNNNNNNNNNNNNNNNNNNNNNNNNNNNNNNNNNNNNNNNNNNNNNNNNNNNNNNNNNNNNNNNNNNNNNNNNNNNNNNNNNNNNNNNNNNNNNNNNNNNNNNNNNNNNNNNNACUGAAGCAGAAGUAAAACCUUUCAUUUCUCUUAGCUAUAUUGAAGGUUCUAAAUGGCUGCUUCCUCCUCCCAAAUUGUGAGGACUAUAUUUAUAGCAGGAAGUAUAUGAAUUUGAGCGCAAUGAUGUUUAGGCGUACAUGAAGCCAUCUACGCCGAAAGAAUCCCUUGUUAUUUUGGAAGGCCUAUCUUAUGGUUUUGGCAUCUUAGUUACCACUUGUAAAUAAGCCAGAUUAGAGUAAUAUAUCUGGUUCUAUAAUUUUCCCAACAAUGAUUUUGCAAUUAUCUCAUUUAUUAGUUUCAUUUAAUUUUUAGUCAUUUUAUAAUUAUUAGCCCAUAAAUACAUGUUUUCUCCCCAAUCACAUCAAUUUUCCAUUUGAUGGAAACCACAAAUUGUCUUUCUAAAUACUGAUUAAUAAAUAGAAUACUCAGAAUUAAAAGUGUCUGCGAGUAAUUAUGGAUAUACUAACUAAAUAAGAAAUGAAAACUAACUAAUUAGAAGCCAAUCAGGUGGUGAUCUGGUUGGUCUUCUCUCUUAUGUGAGGAGUGGGAGGGCCGCCCCAUGUUGUAUAGUUCACAGUGUUAUUUCGGUCCAUAAAAACCUCUAAUAAAUUUAAAAAGCUAACUAAUUAGGAAAAAAAAAUGAUUUUUUAACUAAAAAGGAAAGAUAAAAUCUAACUACAUAAGAAAAUAUCAUUGCCUUAACUAAAUAGGGACAAAGGUACAUAAUAUAUAAGAACAAGAAAUAAAAUUUUAAAAUAAUAUCCUAAGAAAUAAACAAUAAUGCUAUAUAAGAAUUUCAUCCAAAUAAGUUGUGUUAACUGUUAGGUACACAUACACAUGAAAUUUGUAGCUUUGUAGUGUUGCACUCUAGCUAUGACAAUCUUGAUGCAAUAUAAAUUAAAUCUUUCAUAUUUUAUUCAUAGAAAUUUUUGAGGUCGGAUGGCAUUUAAAUAAUGGAAUGUAUACAUCUCAUGAAUUUGCUAGAUUCUUUCAAUUAAUAGAGAAAAAAAAUGAAGUAUGCUACAUGGAAUUAAUGGAUUUCGAGGUAUCCCCGAUUACAUUAAUUUAGAAGAGAGAAAAAUAUUAUCUCAAUGCUGGAAUUUUCUCAAUUCUAUCAUUAUUAAUCAUUUAUUUUUUUCCGAAAAUACCUUUUAAAUUCAUGGAUUAUAUUUUUUUCAUUUAAAUAAUGGAAUAUGAAAGUCCAUUGAUUUUACAAUUCAUAAAUUUUAUAUUUCAUGAAUUUGGUAAAUUUUAUGACCAAAUUUCAUCAAUUUAAAUUAUCUCCUUAAGAAUAAAAAAGUGUGAAGAAAGACAGAUUUUAAAAGUUUUAACAAUGAUUGUACAUUUGUUGGUUUUUUUUUUUCUUGAAAACAUUGUACAUUUGUUGUUAAUCUCUUGCAAGUUGCAUGUGAAUUGAAGAUUUUUUUUUUUAAAGUUUCCGAAUGCUAUAAAUAAAUAGAAAUUCAUUGUUCAAGAUCAGUACUACAAAUUAGCACAUUCAUUAAAGUUUUAAGAACCAAACUUUAUGAAAUUCAAACAUGACUAUAUUAAAUUCUGGAAUUUAAAAACUAUGAAGAUCUCCUCGACCGUAAGAUUCAGAAUCUGACAGAAUUAAAAAUAUAUUCAUGCAGAAGAUGAUAAAAAAUGAAUUUUUUAGAAAUUAUUUCGAUAUUUUUUUUAGUGUACUUUAAGAUCUGCUUAAAUCUGCACUUAUGAAAAUAAAAAUUUUUUAAAAAUUAUUUCUACUUUAUUUCUUUUUUCCUUUAGCUUUAAGGUCUGGAUUUUUUUUUUUUUUUUUUUUUUACAAAAUCAAGAUAUAGUUGAAGAAUACUAAUUUCUUUGUCAGGUUAAAAAAAAAAAAAUUGCAACACAUAAUUUUGAUGUAUGCCACACGGCGGAUUUAUGUUCACGACAAAGUUUAUAUAUAUAUAUAUAAAUAGAUCGGUUUGCAAUAUAUGGAAGCAAAGAAUAAGCCCUGAAAUUGCCAAAUGUGAGGGGAUAACAAUUAUUCAGGGUAGUUUUAAAAACAUGAGUUAUUUUAUAUUUUCCAAAAGGUUGGAUCAAUUAUUAAAAAUUAAAAUUAAAAUUAAAUAAAAAUUUAAAAUAGAUACAGUAGGGACCAACAACAACCGUAAUAUAUACUUACAACUUUUAUUUUUUUUCAUUUUUCCCACUCAAUUACGCAUCAUGAUUAAAGUUAGGGUUUCGAAACACAGAUUGCGGAAGAUCAGUAAGCAUUUAUCAGGAUUCUGUUAUUCAUGAUUUAUUUUAUAAGGCUGUUUAGCUCUAAAGAAAACCCUAUAAAAAAACCAUAUCAGUUUCCUUUUGUUUGCGGCAAUUAUAAAGUCUCAGUUUUUCUGUUAGCUUUUACAUGUUUGUUGUGUUUGCGUUAGAGUUUUUAUUUGCAUCAAUAUUUUUUCCUAAUGGUUCAUUUUUGAUUUCAGGGAGAUCGUAUCCAUGCAAUGAUCAGUAAAAAUAUUAUUCAUUUAUUCAAAUUAAAGAUACACGAGUUUGGAUUAUAUUUCAUGCAGAACUUUAUAAUUGCACCAAAUAAUUAUAUAGAAAAUCGUUUCACAUAUAUUUUCUAUGAGUUGCUACUAUUGAUUUUAUAGGAAAAUAACCGAGUUUGGCUCAUUCUGGUUUAUGCCGUAUUUUUUUUCCUAAGUAUUAUUAUUUGAUGAAAGUUAUACCAUGCAUGGUUUUUGCUAUGCAUACCUUGGUAAAAGGCUUCACAUGUUACUUAAGAAUCUCUCAAUGAGAUAUAAUUUUGUAAUACAUUUCAAUGAGAUAUUAUAUUAUACAAUUUUAUUAUUUUUCAAUGCUGUUAUAAAAGAUAAUUUCAUCAUUCAAUAUUGCUUCGUGCAUCACGCGAGUUCUUACACGAAUAAUAUAUAAAAAUAAUAUAGUUUGCCUUAUAUGGUAUAAGUAGCACAAUUUACCAUUUGACAUUAUUUUAGAUUAUAGAGUGACAGAUGUUAGAAUUCUAAUAUAAUCUGCCACUUGGCGGUUUUUUGAAUUAUAGAAUGACAAAUAUUAGAAUUCUAACACAAAUUAGCACAAUUGUAAGAAUUAUAAAGAGAUCAGUUAUUUUAUAUUUUUAGAUGAUUCCUUUAUCAACGUAAUAUCUAUAAAAAAAAUUAUCUUUAGCAUUCAAUAUAUUAAUAUAAAUUUAUUUCUUCUUACAAAAUAAUUAAUAAGUAAUCCACACACAUAAAAAAAGUGUGAAUAAAUAAUAUAUUACUAUUAAAUAAACAAUUUAAAAAAUAUAAAUUGUAACGUCCUGAAUACGAUAAUUUUUAAAACACAUGCUUAGAACACAUACAUUCAAUAAGUAAUAUAUUAAUAUGCCAAAUAAAUAAACAAUCAUUUAUAAUAAAUUAUAAAUAAAUUUAAAAAAUUAAUUUCUUAUUUCAAUCAUACAAUUCUAAUUUUGAAGAGCUCCAUUCGUGAAAGGAGAGGAAAAAAAUAUUUAAUAUCAAGUUUCCUAAUACCAAUUCUGAUGUUUGAGUUUUAUUUACACUUACACUAAUUCAAGAUAUAGCAAAAGCCUUUUUCGAUUUUUAAAAUAAAUUCGCUUUUGCUUUCGCUAGAUUACUUUUGCUAAACCUAAUUUAUUAUGAUCGAUAUUAUAAAUUUAUAUAUUAGAUUUGUCAAUUUUCUAUUACACAGUUCUUCCUUGAACAUCAAAAAUAGUUUCCAUUGUACCAAUUUAGGCAAAAUUACUCCCUCUUACUUAACAAUUGACAAUUGAUUUAUGAAGAGUUAUGGCAGAAUUGAGUUUGGAGAAAGUGAUCGGAAAAAAACAAUAAAUAUGUAUUAGUAGGACCAAAUUUUUACAACCAUAACUCAUUUUUUAAGUUAUUAAAACAGCAGCACCGAAAAGUUUAGGUAAAAUAGUAAAGUUUUAAAUGCAUUUUACAUUGUUUUUUUAUUGUGCAAAAAAAAAAACUUGUAUUUAUUUUGAAUUACAAAAUAAGUAAAGAAAAAAAUAUUAGAAGUGACACAAGCCACAAAUUUCAAACAAGAUACACGAGAAUCACUCCCAUUACUGCAAAAGAAAGCACGAGAAUGCGAUAAACUUUCUAAAUCUCAAUUGUAUUAAGACUUCUUCCUCUUCAGUGUUAUAUAAAUUGCGAAUUCAUAAUAAAAAAGAAGCAAGAAACAUAUCAAGAAACUAAAAAUCUAUACAAGAUGAUUAAACGCCUUAGUCUCCUCGCAUUCGUCGAAUAUGCCAUCAUCGCCAUUGUUUUUACAGCCAUAACUGUUAGCUCUGAUGAUGCAGCACCAAUACCAGAGGCUGAAGCUGAAGUAAACGCUUGGUUUGAAGCAAAUGUCAAGCCACUGGCAGACCGUAAGGGCACUUUAAAUGCUGACCUUGAAGCGGCUGAAGCUACUCCCAAAACUAUUAAGGUGAGAGCAGACGGAAGUGGAGAGUUCAAGACUAUAACAGAUGCUGUUAAGAGCAUUCCAGCCAAAAAUGCACAACGCGUGAUUGUGGAUAUUGGACCUGGAACCUAUACCGAGAAAAUUACCGUUGAAAAAGAUAAGCCCUUUGUUUCGUUUGUCGGAGUACCUGAGAAGACAAUCAUAGAAUUUGCUGGCACUGCUNNNNNNNNNNNNNNNNNNNNNNNNNNNNNNNNNNNNNNNNNNNNNNNNNNNNNNNNNNNNNNNNNNNNNNNNNNNNNNNNNNNNNNNNNNNNNNNNNNNNNNNNNNNNNNNNNNNNNNNNNNNNNNNNNNNNNNNNNNNNNNNNNNNNNNNNNNNNNNNNNNNNNNNNNNNNNNNNNNNNNNNNNNNNNNNNNNNNNNNNNNNNNNNNNNNNNNNNNNNNNNNNNNNNNNNNNNNNNNNNNNNNNNNNNNNNNNNNNNNNNNNNNNNNNNNNNNNNNNNNNNNAACUCAACAUAUAUUGGAUUUGUUUAUAUGCACAUAAUAUCUUUAUUUAUGAGUGUCAACAUCAACAUAUAUUCUAUGCAGAAUACCCAGUUAGAGGUGCUGCAAGAUAAGGAAAUGACAGUGAUUGUUGCACAAGCAAGAGGAAACGCUGAAGAUACUGGCUUUUCAUUUGUUCAUUGUAGCGUAGCUGGGAAAGCAAAAGGAGCAUACCUAGGCCGAGCAUGGAUGCCAGCUCCUAAGGCGGUAUUUGCAUAUAGUACCAUAAGUGAGGUUAUCUGUCCCGAAGGAUGGUCUAAUAAUGAACAUCCUGAAAGAGAGCCGUAAGAAAUUUUUAACUAAUCUCUUUAAACUCAUAAAAUGACUUAUCUAUAAUACUCAUUUUGCAUAUUUCAAUAAGGUUCUGUGCACUUUGCAGAGAGAUCUUCUUUGGAGAAUUUAAGAAUUCAGGACCAGGCGCAGCUGCUGAUGGACGUGUUAAAUUUGCCAAGCAACUGACUGAAGCAGAAGUAAAACCUUUCAUUUCUCUUAGUUAUAUUGAAGGUUCUAAAUGGCUGCUUCCUCCUCCCAAAUUGUGAGGAGUAUAUUUAUAGGAGGAAGUAUAUGAAUUUGAGCGAAAUGAUGUUUAGGCGUACAUGAAGCCAUCUACUCUGAAAGAAUCCCUUGUUAUUUUGGAAGGCCUAUCUUAUGGUUUUGGCAUCUUAGUUACCACUUGUGAAUAAGCCAGAUUAGAGUAAUAUAUCUGGUUCUGUAAUUUUCCCAACGAUGAUUUUGCAAUUAUCUCAUUUAUCAGUUUCAUUUAAUUUUUAGUCAUUUUAUAAUUAUUAGCCCAUAAAUACAUGUUUUCUCCCCAAUGACAUCAAUUUUCCAUUUGACGGAAACCAGAAAUUGUCUUUCUAAAUACUGAUUAAUAAAUAGAUAUACAAACUAAAUAAGAAGUUGUUUUCGAAUAAUUGUUGAUAUACUAACUAAAUAAGAAAUGAAACCUACUUGAAAUGAUCUUUUAACUAAAAAGGAAAGAUAAAAUCUAACUAAAUAAGCAAAUAUCAUUGCCUUAACUAAAUAGGGACAAAGAUACAUAAUCUAUAAGAAAUAUAAAUAAUAUUUUAGAAUAAUAUCCUAAGAAAUAAACAAUUAUGGAUCCUGACCUUAGAAUUUGAUCCAAAUAACUUGUGUUAACUCUUAAGUACGCAUACACAUUAAAAUUUGUAUCUUUGGAGCCUUGCACUCAAGCUAUGAUCAAUCUUGAUGCAAUAUAAAAUUAAAUCUUUCAUAUUUUAUUUAUUGAAACUUUUGAAGUUAUUUUGAUAGGUGGAGUUUAAAUGAUGGAAUGUAUACAUGUCACGACCCGAAACCAUGGGCCGAACCGGCACUAGGGCCCAGGUAAGCUUAAGGCCCCCGAGAUCUGUAGUAAGCCUGAACCACUAAAAUUCUACUUUUUCAAUAUAAAUUUCAAACAUUUAGCCCAUAUUACUAUGCAAAAUAAAUCUCAUAAAUAUUUUAUACCUCUGCCCAAAUUUAACAUCUUAAACAUUUCACGGAUUGAAUGCAAUUUACAAUACAUCACAUUUAUAAUAUUGGCUCUCAGAAUCGUUUCAUCUAUAUUAGUACACAACUAAAUGUAUGUAAAUUCUACAACUGCGGAGUCACUAACUAUUUGAUAUACAUAACUUUUUAUACAUAUAGUUACAUAGCAAAAUAAUUAUAGAACUAAAAAAAUUUCUUUCUUGCCCUGCGGCGAAGAAAUAUAGCUUAGACCGAAUUUAAGAGAAACUUACUUCCUGAAAAAUUAAAUAAGACAUGUGAGUUUUCUAAGGAGUAAUAAUUAUUUUAUAGCACACUCAUUCACACAAAUGUGUAAAUAUAUCAAUCUAGUCAUCCGACUAGUUAUAUGCUCACGCAGUCAGUCACACAAAUGGUAUAUCACUAACACUUACAAUUAUUAACAUCUUCAUAUAAUCACAUUACGUGGAAAUUGGUCUGUGGCAUCACCAAAACCCCCAAUGAGCCAUCCUCAUACAUGCUCCACCCUCUCAUAAUGUGUGCACCAGGGAGCCGAUCCCUCAUACAUACCCGACCGAUCUAAUCCUCACUUGACCAGCCUUCUCAUUAUUUUUCCAUCCUUUAUUUUCUUUUCCUUUCCAUACCAACAGGAGGCCACCCUGUGGUUUAUCCAUAUUAUCCAUAUCAUAUCAUCAUAUGCACAUGGGAUGCCGAUCUCCCAUACAGCCAAUGGUCUCGUGGACCGCCCUUGCAAACCCAUGAUGACCCACUUCAUCCCAACUCCACAGAUACAAAGCAUAGUAUUAUCACAACACAAUUAAUCAAGUAUCGCAAUUAAAUGCAAGCAUAUUAAUCAAUUAAACAUCGUAAUGCAAUACACAAUUAGACACCCCUAUUCAAAUGCAAAUAAACAAAUCAAUAGUAUUAACAAUAAAAAACAAUAAUAAAAUAAAUAAUGACAAUAAUAAACAAUAAUAAUGAAAAUAAAUAAAUAAUUGAAUAAUAAAGAUAAUAAACAAAUAAUUAGAGCACUUUAUUUAUUAUGUAUCAAAUUAUAGAUUUAUCUAAAUAAGCUCAUUUAUUAUGUUAUUAAUUAAAAUUAGUCUAGGUUCUAUCGAAAUUUUGGCAGAACCUUCCCUAGAAAUAUGACUAUCUACCCAUUUAAAUAUCACAAUAAUAUUAUAUAUUUAUCAAUCAAUACACACAGCUCAUUCGUCAGGCAAUUCACAACAACACCUCCCAUCCGCCAUAUCCAUAAUCACCAAUCAUACCCCAUCCGCCAUAACCAUAUUCAUCCAUCACGCACACAUAUAUGCACUUAAUAAUUCAAAACCAAUUAAUUAACAAUUUAUAUUAGCCUCCGAGCAAGUUCCAAUAAUAUUAUUAAUUGUCCUGUAACUAAUUACCAAAUAUCUAAACAAUUUAUAAAUAAAACUUGGUUCGCUACUCUCAGUUGAUAGUUUUUAGACCUCUAAUUAUUAAGAAACUUCUACAUUCUUGCUUAAAAAUUCUAUACUAGCCACCGGGAACCAAUACUAAUUUAAAUUACAAUCGAAUGUAUACACCUACUAAAUAAUUCAACUCGCCGUUGGCAGGAAAAUCGUGGUUGCUCGAAACCGAGCACUCUUCACACCAUCUGACUUGGCUUGCUGUCAGGAGCCCGUUUCUCGCGUUGGUUGGGCGAGAUUGGUCCUCCAUCUGGCCGGAGCGGGCUCGGUUUUUGCUGCGCCGACUGGAACAAACAGAGAGAGAAGGAGAGGAGUUACGCCAUCGGGGAAGUGCCGGAGCCACCGACUGCGCCGGGAUCGACGGAAAACCAGUGGAGGCGCUUAUGCGCCGUUCGCCAACGAAGGACCGCGGCUCGCCCCGCUGCUGCGUUCUCCAGAAACGAGAACUGAAAGAGAAGAGGCACCGCAGGACGAUGGUGGCGCGACGGAGGAGGAGGUUCGGUCGACUCAGGUGGCCGGAAACGGAAGAGGAAAGGGAGGCACGGCGCUGGUGGUGGUGGCGCACGCUCUGGCCCUCGCCGGAAAAAUGGGGAAGGAGGGGAAAAACGAGUGCUGCCGCUAGAAAAGGAGGAGAAGAAAAGAAAAGAAAAGGAAAGAAAGAAAAAUCUGGGUCUUCUAGACCAUUUCGGUUCGAUUCGAACCGGUUUGGUCUAAUUCAAUAAUUCGGCUCGAUUUUUGUUCGGUUUCAGGUUUUUCACUUGGUUUUCAGAUUAUUUGUGUGGUUUUCAAAAAAUCAAUUUGAUUUCUGGGCCCGGUUUGAUUUAUUUUGAUUAUUUUAGUUAGGUUCUGUAACAUUUCCUCUAUUUAUUCAAUAAUAAUAAAAAUAUUAAUAGUAGUGAUAUUUGAUUUUUUUUUAGGAUAAUUAAUUUAUAUACAUUCAUAAUAGAUUAAUUGCUGGAGUUUCAUAUUAUUUCUCAAAAAUUUAACUAUUCUCAAAUCGGAAAUUCCGAUAAUAUAUUUAGACUUUGGGCCAACUCGCAAAACUUUGAGUUUAAAUUAAGAUUGUUUGGUGUUUAUAGCCAAUAUAAUUGAAAAUUAAAAUUUUUGAUUUAAUAAAAAUUUGAAAGUUUCGAAAAUAAAAAUUUAGGCAUUUCAAUACGUUUCUCGAAUUUACCAGAUUCUUUCAUUUAAUUGGGAAAAAGAUGAAGUAUACUCCAUGGAAUUAACAGAUUCCAUCGUAUCUCCAUUUCAUUAAUUUAGAAGAGAAAAAAAUAUCAUCUCAAUGUUGGAAUUUUCUCAAUUCUAUCACUUUUAUUAAUAAAGUAAAUUAAAACAUUUAAUUUUGUUCUGAAAAUAUCUUUUAAAACUAUGGAUGAUAUUUUUCGUUUAAAUAAUGGAAUAUGAAAUUCCAUUGAUUUUACAAUCCAUAAAUUUUAUAGUUGGAGAAUUUGGUAAAUUCUAUGACCAAAGUUCAUCAAUUUAAAUGAUCUCCUUAAGAAUAAAAAAUUGUGAAGUAAGACAGUUUUUUAAUUUUUAAUAAUGGUUGUACAUUUGUUUUUUUUUUUUUUUUUAUAUAUAUAAAACAUUGUACAUUUGUUGUUAGUCUCUUGCAAGUUGCAUGUAAAUUGUUGAUUUUUUUUUUUUUUUUAAGUUUCCGUAUGCUAUAAAUAAAUAGAAAUUUAUUGUUCAAGAGCAGUACUAUAAAUUAGCACAUUCAUUAAAGUUUUAAUAACCAAACUUUAUGAAAUUCAAAUAUAACUAUAUUAAAUUCUAGAAUUUAUAAACUAUGAAUAACUCCUCGACCGUAAGCUUUAGAAUCUGACUGAAUUAAAAAUCAAUUCAGGCACGGGAUGACAAAAAAAAAAAAAAGUAUUUUUAGAAAAUUAUUUCAGUAUUUCUUGUAGUGUACUUUUAGAUCCGGUUAAAGCCCCACCCAUGAAAAUAGAAAUUUUUUAAAAAUUAUUUCUACUUUAUUCUUUUUUUCCUAUUAUAUGAUCAUAAACGUAUAUUUUUCAUUUGUUAUAUAUGAAUGGAUCACAAGUCGAUCCCUUAAUUUUAUUUUCAUAAAAACGGUCAUUUCUUUUCUUUCCUUUUUCCCCUUUCAAUAGUUAAAAGCGACUUUAGUUUUAAUGUCUGGAUUUUUUUAUAUAAAAUCAAGAUAGUUUUUUUUUUUUUUUGACAGUGCAAUUGUGAUUAUAUAUUAUUAACAUCAAAAGUCAAAGCAUCCAAAAUAAUAGUUGGAGGACAAUAGCCCCGCUCUAAUGAGCCAGACUCAGAAACAACAACUCUAGCCAACUGAUAAACACACUGAUUCGCUGACUUCUUAAUAAAGUUAACACUAAUAGCAAUGAACUUUUUUAAGAGAGUUUUACAAUCUGAAAUAAUGGUCUCGAAAUAGGACAUAUCAAUCUUAGUACUCUUCAAAGCCUGAAUAAUUAUCAUGCAAUCUGUCUCCAAGUCAAUCACCGACUGCAAAUACCCCUGACCCUUCAACCAACUCAAAGCUUCUCGUACCCCUAUAGCCUCAUCUAAUAAUGCAUUAAAGCCCCCAUUUAUCCUAGUCAGCUUCCCGCCUCUACUAUACCCAUGCCAAUCACGUAGAAGCCGGGCAACACCAGCAUGUGAAUUUUGGGAAUAAAAGGCAACAUCAACAUUACACUUCAAACCAGACCCUGUAGGUGGUUUCCAUUGGAAUUGGAAAGGAAUAGCCACCACUCGUGAAACAACUUUGGCAGCCUAAGCCGUUACCCAUUCUUGAACCACUUGCUUAGCCCGAUACACACAUUCAUGGGUAUUGGCAAUACCUCUCUCCCAAACAACGUUAUUACAACUUAACCAACUACUCCACAGAAGGCAAAAAUACAUACCCCACUUAUUACCAUCAACAGUCUCUCUAAUAUGAAUAAACCAUGCCUGCAUAUCGCUAAAGCCAGUCCAACUCUGACCAUCCAGCAACUGCCAACAUUGCCUAGCAAAAUAACAGAGAAGAAAAAGGUACUGAUGGGAUUCGCACUCAACACCACACACAGGACACUUGAUCAACAACUCCUUGACGACGGUAGAGAUUUUGCUUGACCGGACGAAUAUUAUGCAAUAAACGCUAAACAAAAUUUGCAACUUUUGGAGGGACGGGUACCUUCCAUAUCUCAUCUCAUCGAAUUGCACUACCAUCAUCAUCUGAUAUCUGCUGAUCUACUAUAAGCUUGUACCCACUACGAACAGAGUACACACCCCAUGGGUCCCACCACCACAUCCAGCCAUCCACCCCCAUAGCACCAUUCAUAUGGCACAUUACAAAUUUAUAUUUUUUGGGAAUUGGUUCUGAAAUAUGAAGAAUGCGAUCAAUCUCAUUCUUAGUAAAAAGCAAGUUCAGAAAUUGAAUAUCCCACACACUUCCGUCUGGCAGCGGUAAAUCAGAAACCAGAAGCCCAUCCACGCCUGAAAUAUUAUCACUUAAAAUAAAAGGGUGAGAUGGGUCAGGCAACCAAGGACUAUUGUAAACUUCAGUAGUAUGACCAUUAACAAACGAUGCAAACAACCCGCCUUUAACAGCUGUUGACUCUUAACAGUAGAUUUCCACACAAAGCUUGGAUUGCAUCCUACUUUAGCCUGGAAAAAAGAGCACUCCUUAAAAUAACGUGCCUUAUAAACACGAGAAACCAGUGCAUUUGGAUCUUUUAAGAACUUCCACCCUUGGUUCGCCCGUAGCGCCAAGUUAAAUUCACGUAUAGUUCAAAAUCCAAGCCCACCAUCUGAUUUUGCUUUGGCCAACCGCUUCCACCUUUGCCAAUGAAUACCAGAGUCAUUAUCCAUUGAAGCCCUCCACCAAUAUCGAUUCAUCAACUUUUCAAUGGCAUCAAAGUAUUCAACGGCAAUAAAAAAACACUCAUAAGAUAGUUCGGAAUGGCCUGCACACAGUCUUUAGUAGAACCUCUUUUUCGACACGAGAUAAUAGAUUCCCUUACCACCCUUGAAGCUGCCGCCACACCUUAUCAACCAUAAAAUCAAAAAACUCCCUCUUAUUCCUCUCGACGAAAAUCAAAAGCCCCAAAUAUUUAGAAAAAGAAUCUGUCUUACAAACAUUAAGGAGACCACAAAAUUAUACCUCGAUCAGUCGUUGUUAUGUUGGUAGUGGACACUAUUUCAGAUUUUUCAUAAUUAACUUGCUAGCUUGACACUCGCUGAUAUAGAUCUAAACAAUGUUUAAUCAUAAAAGCUUCUGUUGCAGAGGCCUGAAAAAAAUACAAUGCGUCGUCCAUAAAAAAGAGGUGACUUAUAAUCGGGGACCGCACACCACCUUACAACCAGUAAUUUGUUGUCGUCGUUCAAAGCUCCUGAGAAGAUAAGAUAGAGCUUUAGCACAAAUAAUGAACAGGUAAGGGGAUAUUGAAUCACCUUGACGCGAGCCUCGACUUGCAACGAUCAGACCAAAAGACAAACCAACAUGACAAAUUGAUAAGUCACCCUGGUAAUAUGCUUCAUGAUUUUAUCCACCUAGGCCUGAGCAAAACCCAUUGGCAACAUCAAUUCUCCCAGAAACCUCCACUCAACCCUAUCGUACGCCUUAAACAUAUUAGUUUUUAAAGUUGCAAUCCCUGCACUUCUCUGAGAUUUACGCUUCAAACAGUGCAUCACUUCAAAAGCAAUCAUUGCAUUAUUAGCAAUCAAAUGAUUCAGAAUGAAAGCACUCUAGGCUUCAUCAAUAAUCAAAGGUAAGACCCUUUUCAAUCUAUUUGCCAUAGCCUUUGCCACAAUUUUAUCAAUAACAUUACUAAGGGAAAUUCGUCGUAGAUCCGACAUAAACUCUGGACAUUUCUUCUUAGGAAUGAGAACAAUAUUAGUCUUAUUAAGUCCUGGAAGAGGUGCCCCCACUAUUCAGACAAGCACGACCCACAUCCCCACCAACUAUUGGCCAAAAGGCUUGGAAGAAAGCAGGGUUAAAGCCAUCCAGUCUAGCUGCUUUAUCAGGAUGCAUGAUGAAAAUCGCAUCCUUGUCUUCACUCAUCGCAAACGACUCCAGAAGCUCACUAUUAUGUUCUUCCAAAAUCUUAGGUUCCACACACUGAAGACCUGUAUCAAACUCCCCUUGCUAUGAUCGGAAUAAAUUAACAUAAUACUCUAUAAUGAUCUUAUCCAGUCUGUUAUCCCAAACAACCCAAGCACCAACGGUAUCACGCAACUGAUUGAUAGCAUUUUUUCAUCUUCUACGAGAUGCCAUCAAAUGGAAAAUAUUUAAUAUUAAGUUAACCAUCUCGCAACCAUAAUUGCUUUGACCACUGCCACCAAUAAGCCUCUUGUUAGCCAAGGACUGCCAUAUAUGCCUCAUGCGCUAUUCGAUAUAGUGUAAUAGAGCAAGCGUCAUGUCCCCCCUUAUAACGAUGCAUUUGAUUUUUGCUCUGGCGCAACUUUGCUUUAAAUUCUAUAUGCUUGUGAUUGCCCCACUUAUGAAGAGCUGCAACACGGUUAUAAAUUCGUUCCAAAAUAUUCAUACUAGUCCUCGGAAACCAAGCUGCUUGAACAACCUCAUGGAAAUUCUCUUCACACAACCAAGCAUUCUCAAACUGAAACAGACGGGGGCAUAACGAAUUAUUGUAAUACCCAACCCCAUAAAAAUAGCAUUGUGAUCACUCUGGGUUGCUUCAAAAUAAAAAAGUUGGGCAAGGGGAAAUUGCCUUAACUAACUAUCUAUUGCCAAACAUCUAUCAAGCCUUUUUGAAACCCAGCCUACAGUACCACGUCCUCAUUCCGAAGUAAACUUAUUGCUAGUGUAACCAGUAUCAAACAGACCACUAGAAGCAAUAGUGCGUCUAAAACUGUUAAUGAGACAAGCAGGAUGAUUAAUACGACUUGCCUUUUCAUUAUGAGCCAAUAAGUCAUUAAGGUCACCCCCAACACACCAUGGUAAAGACGAUUUGUUUUUCAAAGAGAUCAACAGGUUCCAAGACUCUCAAUGAGGACUUCUCUCAGGCAAACCAUAAAAACCUGUAAAUCUAUAAGGCUUAACACCAUCCAUAUAAAUGCCAACAUCAAUAUAAUUAUUAUUAUAGCCAAUAAGAGAACAAGAGUUUUUAUCCUUCCAUAACAGAGCAAGGUCCCCGCUAUGACCAUGUUGGUUAACAACAAACAGGCCUUCAAAGCCCAACAACCGUCUGACUUUUAGGUAAAGUAAAGUUUCAAAUGCAUUUUACAUUGUUUUUUUAAUGUGAAAAAAAAAAAUAUUUGUAUUUAUUUUGAAUUACAAAAUAACUAAAGAAAAAAAAAUUAGAAGUGACACAAGCCACAAAUUUCAAACAAGAUACACGAGAAACACUCCCAUUACCGCAAAAGAAAGCAAGAGAAUGCGAUAAACUUUCUAAAUCUCAAUUGUAUUAAGACUUUUUCCUCUUCAGUGUUAUAUAAAUUGCGACAUUCAUAAUAAAAAAGAAACAAGACACAUAUCAAGAAACUAAAAAUCUAUACAAGAUGAUUAAACGCCUUAGUCUCCUCGCAUUCGUCGAAUAUGCCAUCAUCGCCAUUGUUUUUACAGCCACAACUGUUACCUCUGAUGAUGCAGCACCAAUACCAGAGGCUGAAGCUGAAGUAAACGCUUGUUUUGAAGCAAAUGUCAAGCCACUGGCAGACCGUAAGGGCACUUUAAAUGCUGACCUUGAAGCGGCUGAAGCUACUCCCAAAACUAUUAAGGUGAGAGCAGACGGAAGUGGAGAGUUCAAGACUAUAACAGAAGCUGUUAAGAGAAUUCCAGCCAAAAAUGCACAACGCGUGAUUGUGGAUAUUGGACCUGGAACCUAUACCGAGAAAAUUACCGUUGAAAAAGAUAAGCCCUUUGUUUCGUUUGUCGGAGUACCUGAGAAGACAAUCAUAGAAUUUGCUGGCACUGCUCAUGAAUAUGGAACUGUGUAUAGCGCCACAUUACAAGUGGAGUCUGAUUUCUUCGUGGGAAGCGGUUUAGUUAUCAAG
This 26291-nucleotide long non-coding RNA is filed under the name Jatropha curcas. RNAcentral describes it as "long non-coding RNA (JCUR_LNC001028)". The record is from RNAcentral. Lineage: Eukaryota; Viridiplantae; Streptophyta; Magnoliopsida; Malpighiales; Euphorbiaceae.